AUCUUUUUUUCGUUUCUGAGAUGAGAGGUGGGGCGCUCGUCUCUCCGGGCUCCGGCGACGGCCGUGCCAGGCAGCAGCGGCUGCGCGGGCCGAGCAGCCGGAGUGUCGGCCCCAUCCCGUUGUGUUUAGUCAGUCACCGUAUCGUGGGCCCGUGACCGGGAGCGACCAAACAGGAAUCGCAAUCCUCCUGAUUUGGGUCCGACCUAACCGUCGCCACUCGCUCGCUCCAAACCCUAGCUAGCUACCUACCUCGCGCCGCCGUCUCCGGCGCCCUCGGCCCUUCCGCUGCGUCAAACCGCCGGUGGCUGCGCGAGGUUCCCCUCCCCAGCGUGGCGCUCUUCAGCAUCGCCGCCCACCCCGAGGGCGCCGGCCUCCGCAACGUCUUCAGCUCAUCCCGGACAGUGAGGUGAGUAGUCCCCAACAGCGGGCGCCGUACCAGAUGGUGGCUGCUUUGGGGGCGAGCUCCGAGUGCCUGCUCAUAGGUGAAAAAUACUCGGGGAUCAGUGUUGCUGUUUCUCCAAGGUGGAAUCAUCAUAUAUCCUCCUUUGUUAGUUUCUGUUAUGCUUCUGAGUUGUAUGACUAGAUCAUUAGUAACAGAUUCUGUAAGUUGUUCUGUAUGCAAGAUGGUGGCAGAGUGAGUAUGAUCUUUCAGAUUUUGCCUCUUGCAUACAAGAUGGAUCUGGCAUUCUGGCUUAAUCUUUGAUAUCUGUUGUUGUUGGUUCUUUUCGAAAUGCAACUUCAGUAUCACACAAUGCACUAAGACCUGAUGGACCACCGUCCUGGUCCUUUCAAAAUUGUGAUGGUGGAUCAGACAGGAAGUUGCUCUGCAUUGGAAAAAGGAAGAAGCAAGAGCUAGGGUGCCCUCUCCUCUCCUGCUUGGCGUGUUAAAUGGAGUUGCAGGUCUCACUUGAAUGAAACAUUGGUUUGAUAUUCAUAUCUCAUUGUCGGGUUCAUUGACUACAAGCUCUCUGCCUCUCAUUGCACCUGCUGAUUAUGGUCUUGCAAGUUUAAAAUGCAUGCUGGCUUGCUGAGUAAUAGUGCAGUGAAAUGAAUUCCUUGAGAUUAUAUGUUCUGGAAUUAGUAUUGUAAUUCUUAUGUGACCAGGAUAAAUAGUUCUUCAACCUAUGAUGUAAGAGCCCUUCUGGUUAUAGUAAACACGAUUCAGUAAAAAUAGUGGCCCUUCAUUCCUGAAGUUUUCUCUGGAUGCAGGUGCUAGAUAUACUCUAAUUGAUACGUAGUGCAUAUUUAUUUUAGAAUCCGAAGAUAGUUGUUGUGGCACGCUUCAUGUCUGCAAGUUUACUAGAGGCAGUAAGAUUACCUUAUUGUCACCACAACGGAAGUGAAUCCUCGCCAACAGAUCUGACACCUCCUGUUUGGUAGUAGAAUAGCCUUAUUGUCAUAGGCUUAGCGAGCUGGACGUGUCCAUUCAAUCAUUUUCAUUUUAUUAUACAUGCAAUUAUCUAUUCCUGGUUACAGAAGAAACUGAUCAAAUUGAUGAUUUCGACAGCAGCAAUUUCUUGAAGUGAUGGAUGCAUGGCAUAGUUACUACUACUAUUUAUAAAAUCAUUCACUACGAUAUACUGUUCAUAAUAAUUUUGUCCUAAUACGCUGGGCUGAAUGCACCUACUUUCACUCUUUAUAACAAGGGUGGUCUGAAGUCUCUACUUGACUACUCGAUGCAAGUUUCGGUUACUGUUUACAAUCAUUCAGUGAUAUUACAAUAUCCCCGUUCAUAAGGAUUUUGUCCUAAUACUCUUGACUGAAUGCAGCUGCUUUUGCUCUUUACAGCGAACAACCAACAUCGCAAUUUACAAAUCUCUACUUGACUACUCAGAUAGGAUGUCUCAAGUUAAUGCACCUGAAACAUCUGAUUGAUGAAUUAUGAGGAUGAUCCUAUUGUACACAUCUUACUUGGAUGGAAUUGACGUUCGUGACGCACAUCGGAGCUUAUAGAAGAAGACAGCAGCCAGCAGGGCUGGGUGCAAUGCAAUCAUGCAAGCUAAAGUUAUGUUAUGGAUUAUGGGAGUGAUAUGAAUGCCCGGCAACUAUCUCUGGUUGGGAAGUUGUGAGUUUGUAUAUCACCAAUGUUAUAUGUGCCACACCAUCAUUAUUUAUGAAAUUGGCAUCUUUCCUAUUUAGAGAAGUUGUGCUAUUUCCGCAAAAUAGAUUAUGUUCAACUAUGUAUUUAUCAAAGGCAGUAAGCUUCACUUUCUCCCUAAGGCAUCCCUUCCCAAAGCAGAGCCAAAUUUAUCUGACAUGUAAUGCAAUCAGAUUGUGGUGUUGCUUACAUUUCAGCUUGUAGCUGAGGACUGAAAUAGGCUGAGAAUGGAAAGUGGGUUAAUUAAAUACGCCAAGACUGCAACUGUUAUCUAUGGAUGAAAUAACCAAACCAACUCGCAAGAAAACAGUCUCCAUGGUCUGAAUGUCCAAACAGCGAACGCAUAUAUGCUUUGCUCUCAUGGGCAGGGCUUCAGGAGACAGGGGCCUCGAUGCGCUGAAGAGAGGGGCUGAGCUGCUGAGGACCGAUUCUGUGGAUCUGAUGAGAGUCCUUGGAGAUGCUACUGGCGACAACCCUGCGGUAACAAAGUGAAGGUUUUGCUGUUGCUGCAUUUGGCUCGGUGUUUGGGUCUUGGGGGAUGUCUUUUGCGAUCAUCCUGGUUACCUUUCCGUAUGUAAUGAAGUGGUUGUGAUACUGUGAUUCCAGCUAUGCCUUUUCCCUUUCCAGUUAUACUGUGAUUAGAGCUUUGACAUAAAUAGGGGGCUGGUAUGAUCUCCUUGCUCUCGUGGUGUUGUUGUCGAGCCUGAGGGCCUGACCUUCUUUCUAUUUUUGGGUUAUGUAUGAGGUGGAGUUUUGAAGUUUCCUGUAGUGACUUGUUCAGUUCUGUGAUCGUUAGCAUGCGUGCUUCGAUGGAAAAAAAAAACAUGCGUAGAUGUUGGCUGGGGUGAAUAUGUGUCGUGAUUAUUUUUAUUAAUUUGAGAAAUUGGAAUUCAA
Molecule: long non-coding RNA, 2992 nt
Organism: Triticum aestivum (bread wheat)
Lineage: Eukaryota; Viridiplantae; Streptophyta; Magnoliopsida; Poales; Poaceae
Exons: 4
Source: RefSeq, a predicted model, not a curated record